This 165-nucleotide ribosomal RNA is filed under the name uncultured bacterium. RNAcentral's name for it is "partial 16S ribosomal RNA". It matches the Rfam family "Bacterial small subunit ribosomal RNA", at positions 355 to 511 of the family's 1533-position model. The record is from RNAcentral.
UAGGGAAUCUUCCACAAUGGGCGGCAAGCCUGAUGGAGCAACACCGCGUGAGUGAAGAAGGGUUUCGGCUCGUAAAGCUCUGUUGUUAAAGAAGAACACGUAUGAGAGUAACUGUUCAUACGUUGACGGUAUUUAACCAGAAAGUCACGGCUAACUACGUGCCNG